Molecule: long non-coding RNA, 942 nt
Organism: Dreissena polymorpha
Lineage: Eukaryota; Metazoa; Mollusca; Bivalvia; Myida; Dreissenidae
Exons: 3
Source: RefSeq, a predicted model, not a curated record
AGAGAAUACUCACAUUGCAAUACCCCUCCCAUUGGUUCCAAAUGCCCCGGAUGCAAGGAAUGAGUUCUAUACCGAGAUUGGCCACAUUUCUAGGAGAAACAGUAACGAAAAUCAGAUGUACCUAAAUCCUAUAGCGGAUAUGCCGAUUUACAUCGAACUCCUAUAAUUAUGCGACUACAAUGCAAUUAAUAAUCGAUAACUGCCUAUAUUGGACAUUGAACUUCUAAAAACGUUCUUGGUUCAAAUGCAGAACUAAUGACUCCUUUAAUCCUUUGGUACUACGCCUAGAAGAUCUAUUAUAGAUUCAGCCUUUGCACUACUUAAAAUGUUUGUAAUUAUAGAUGAUGAUAUUAUAUUAUGUGUAUCCGUCCUUUCUACUCUUUACUACGACAAAAUACAAUAAAUUUAUUUACUGCAAUAAUUCAUCUGCUGUUAAGUUCCAAGAUAUAUUGACAUCAGCUUGUAAUUGUGAUGUAAGUUAAUAAGUAAACAUGUAAGCAUAUAGAGAUGCCACAACAAUGUGUAUGACAUAAUGUCGUUUGACAGAAUAGUUAUUAUUUGACACUUACGUAAACAAUCAAUAGUAUGAUACGAGUCUUUACACCUUGCAGCUUAGCUGUCACUAUAUAUAUGCUGAACAAGAGUUAUUCACGAAAAAUGUCUUUAUUUGCAUGCCUAUCAAGGUAGUUUGCUGUUGGUGGAUAUGAUAGUUGGUUAGCAUAAGCCAAAACUGUUUAAUAUUUUUGCGGAUAUUAAUUCCAACUUCUUCGUGGUUCAAAGUUAAUCCCAUACAGUAUUCACAGCUAUAACUAUUUCUUUUGCCAUCGACAAAAAUACGUUGCGGUAAAAUAACACUGAUAAUUUUGCAUUCCAAGUCCUUUCAUUUUCGAAUUCUUUCAUUUUUUGGCAUCUAUUGUAUGAUGGCAACCAACCUUUAGAAUU